Molecule: non-coding RNA, 417 nt
Organism: Cavia porcellus (domestic guinea pig)
Lineage: Eukaryota; Metazoa; Chordata; Mammalia; Rodentia; Caviidae
Source: the annotation of a RefSeq genome assembly
AUGGAAAUGAGGAUCUCCACUCAGCUCCUGGGCCUCCUGCUGUUCUGGCUCCAAGGUGUCAGAUGUGACAUCCAGAUGACUCAGACUCCAUCUUCCUUGCCUGCAUCUGUGGGAGACACAGUCACUAUCAAGUGUAAGGCCAGUCAAGGUAUAAGCAAUGUUUUAAACUGGUACCAACAGAAACCAGGGAAAGCUCCUCAAAUGCUGAUCUAUGAUGCAACCAGUUUGGGAUCUGGGGUUCCUUCGAGGUUCAGUGGCAGUGGAUUUGGGACAGAUUUCACUCUUGCCAUCAGUAGCCUACAGCCUGAAGAUGUUGCUACCUAUUACUGUCAACAUGUUUAUGGUACCCCUCCCACAUGGGGAGGUGGGCGCACAGUGUCCCUGAGGCCCAGCUUAUCUGGAACUGCACAGUUCUGA